Molecule: unclassified non-coding RNA, 275 nt
Filed under: Agaricomycetes sp.
Lineage: Eukaryota; Fungi; Basidiomycota; Agaricomycetes
Description: partial contains 5.8S ribosomal RNA, internal transcribed spacer 2, and large subunit ribosomal RNA
Source: RNAcentral
CGCACCUUGCGCCACGUGGUAUUCCACGGGGCACGCCUGUUUGAGUGUCACGAAAACCCAUCGCGUCGCGGAUUGUCAUGAUCUGCGGGGCGGAUUUGGACGUUGCCGGUCACUCGGCUCGUCUCGAAAUGCAUUAGCCAGUCCGAGGACUCUCGCCUUUGGUGUGAUAAUUCACUUUGCGCCGCUGGUGUGUCCUAGGUAGGCUCACAAUCGCCCGCAAGGGCAACUUUUAAUGCUCUGGCCUCAAAUCAGGUGGGACUACCCGCUGAACUUAA